UCCUGUGACUGCUACUGAGGUGUUGGAGACUAUCAGACCCAUUUUACAGUAGAAAAGGUCAAGAGGCAAAUGGAUUGGCCCAAGGUGACACGGUUGCUAUAAAUCAGGGCCAGGCAUAGCCUGUAAACUACUAGUUCUUGGGGACAGGAAAGCAGAGGCUCUAUGACCUUGGGUCAGUUACUUCACCUCUCUGAACCUCAGUUUUCUCAUUUGAAAAAUGGGGCAAUGAGGUAAUGUUAUAUGGUGUGUUGAGCAAAGUGACCUGCUCAGUAAAUGUGAAUGGUGACUGCUGGUAUCACCCUCAGGACAUUUCAAGGAUGUUGCUGGGAAGAUCAAAUGCCAGUGAAGCUCUGUUGUUGCUAUACUCUGCCUGCAUCUCUACUCGGGACUUGGUAAGGGAAACUGAGGCCUAGCACGUGGAAAGAGCUGAGGUAAAGCCAGAAGGGAAGUCCUGACUCCUGAAUCUAGCAUCUCACAAACAAGAAUAAACUGUUGCAGCGGGGCCAAGAGGGAGCACGGUGGAUGGACAGCAGAACUGAGGACCAAGACAGAACCCACCCCCUGUCCCAGGGGUGUCUCUCUACUCUGUCUUGAUCUCAGCCUUGCCCACAUAAUCUUCUCCUCAACAAUAA
Mastomys coucha (southern multimammate mouse) is the source of this 632-nucleotide long non-coding RNA. RefSeq lists it as uncharacterized. NCBI's taxonomy places the organism in Eukaryota, Metazoa, Chordata, Mammalia, Rodentia, Muridae. The record is from RefSeq and is a predicted model, not a curated record. The transcript is spliced from 2 exons.